This 1361-nucleotide long non-coding RNA is filed under the name Vigna radiata. Its description in RNAcentral is "long non-coding RNA (VRAD_LNC018311)". The record is from RNAcentral. Lineage: Eukaryota; Viridiplantae; Streptophyta; Magnoliopsida; Fabales; Fabaceae.
CAAAAUCAAAACACCAAAGAGGCCAAAUAUCAAUACUUGGUUAGGGUUUACAAAAAUAAAAUUAACCCCUAAACAACAACAUUAUAAUGAGAAGCGAAAUGAUUUAUAAAAACCCAAACCACCAAAACGCGACAAUGGCAACAAAUGACGAAACAAACACGACCACCAACCAAACCAAAAACCACAAUGCCACACUACGGGCUUACCUUCUCAAUGAUCGCCUUUCCCUGGUUGAGAUAAAACGAAAGGAACGCAGCAAUGGAGAGAACGCAGCAAUGAAGAUGGUGGCAAACGAAGAACAAAGGAGAGAAGGCGAAACUGUUCUCGGCAAAAGGUGAAACGAAAAUGAAACCGCCAAUUCCAAAAUGAUAUUCAAAGUUUCAUUAUUCCACUUCUACCCCCGUCACUUUAUUAAAAAACCUGUUUCAGUAUAUAAAAAAUCACCCAAUAGAAAUUUGACACCUGGACGGUGUCAAAUUUGUGUCAAAUGUGGGUGUCAAACAAACAUUUUCCUUUUAUAUAUAUUGUCACAACCCAUUCUAUCUUCCUCUGCAUCCAUUUAUAUCUUAUACUACACCCAAUUCUAACUUAUUUUAUUUUUAUUUUCCAAUAACUCUAACGUGGGACCAUGCUUUCUCUCUCCUCUCCUUUAUCUAUUCAUAAUAUACACACUUUUCUCACUCCUUUCUCACCAAAAUAACACUCACAGUGUGCCCAUACACAACCUCCAUUUUCAUGCAGAAGCUUCACCCCUUUCUCUUAUUUAUUUUGGUUAUACCCAUACCACCCCAAAUAACUAUUACAGUGCCUCCUUCUAUUUUCUUUAAUUCACGUANCCUACCCCUNUCUUUUCUCAUCNUUUUCUUAACUUAUGAAACCAAAGCACACCACGCUUANUGUUGCCAUCAUGCGUCAAGAACAAAACUACUCCUACCAAUUUAAUUCACGUAACCUUCGACUUUCUUCUACUUUUAUUUCUUCUAAUACAACCCCUCAACCGUAACCAACCAUAAUCCUUCCACUCAUUUCAACCUUACACACAUUCUUCUACCAGAACCAAGACUACUCUAUAUUCAUUCUCUUCAAGAGAAAAUGACACCCACACUUCAACAGAAUAAGUUUCUUCCGCUUUAUGCCUACGAUGUUCACGCACCUCUAAAUCACCACCCAAAGCUCUCCUCUCAUAACCGUGACCAACAUCUACCCAACAAUUCUCACAAACAUUCUUUUCCUUUAUGCAAUCAAGUUCAUACCAAGCCAAUUACAUAAAACAAUAACAAAACAAUCCAAACAGAACAUCAUAUUUUGAAUUUAAUCAUACAUGAAACACGAAAACAGAUUCAACCCAAAAAUAAUUAGCU